AGUGGGGGAUGCGUUAAUUCAGGGAACCUGGGUUCAAAUCCCCUUCUAAACCUAAUGAAAUCAAAUAUUUUUUUGAGGAACCCGGAACCGAUGAAUGUUAAAUAUGUAUAUGUGAUGUAUUAAUACGAUGAAUCAUACAUAGCAGAGUGGUUGAGUGGGAGAUAGGUAAUUGUGGGUAACCCGGGUUCGAAUCCCACGGGCUUAAUUUCCACGUAAUCAUCUGUUAAGUCUACGUAAGACUCCAUCAAAAUUUGACUAAUGGAG
RNAcentral lists this long non-coding RNA (264 nucleotides) under Brassica napus (rape). RNAcentral's name for it is "long non-coding RNA (BNAP_LNC019368)". Lineage: Eukaryota; Viridiplantae; Streptophyta; Magnoliopsida; Brassicales; Brassicaceae. The record is from RNAcentral.